AAAGUCGUAACAAGGUUUCCGUAGGUGAACCUGCGGAAGGAUCAUUACCGAGUGCGGCCCCUUCGGGGUGCCAACCUCCCACCCGUGUCUACCGUACCACGUUGCUUCGGCGGGCCCGCCCCCAACCGGGGGCCGUCGGGGGGCAUCUGCCCCCGGGCGUGCGCCCGCCGGAGACCCUCACACGAACACUGUCUGAAGACUGCCGUCUGAGUGGAUUGAUCAAAUCAGUCAAAACUUUCAACAACGGAUCUCUUGGUUCCG
Molecule: unclassified non-coding RNA, 261 nt
Filed under: Ascomycota sp.
Lineage: Eukaryota; Fungi; Ascomycota
Description: partial contains small subunit ribosomal RNA, internal transcribed spacer 1, and 5.8S ribosomal RNA
Rfam family: Eukaryotic small subunit ribosomal RNA (bases 1-47)
Source: RNAcentral